GUAUAUGUGAACAUAGCCUAAUUAUAUAUAUAUAUAUGGUUUGUUAUUCGUGCAUGUCAAAACUGCAUGUCGUGUCUUGGAGGAACUGACCAUACUCUUAUGUUUCUCAUAUAUAACAAAAGCAACAUUUGUUUUCUCCAUAUGAGAAAUAAUCAAGUAUUUUUUUUUUUACUUUUUGUUGGUGAUUAGAUAUUCAUGUCCUGCUAUAGAUGCAAGCUUGAGUAGAGUUGACAGAACAUGUCAUAAAUAUGUUUUGAGAUGACAUUUUGUGGUUGGAAGAAGAUAGUUUUUUUUUAUGAUAAAUAUAUAAUAAUUUCUAUGGCCAAGGGGCACUGUUAUUUUGGAAGGUGAUGAUGCUUUGUUGAAACGUUAUUUUAGUUCAUUUGGAGGGUUAAUUUAUGUUACUUUAUCAUCAAUCUGAAUUAAUUUUACUAAUGUCAGCUUCUUUUGACAUGUAUGGCUAUAUCAUUCCAGAAAUUUAGUGAUCCCUCUAUGGUAUUGUAUUUUGUAUUCAUCUUGAUUUAUCUUGUACUGAUAUUGAAAUAUUGGGCAGCUGAGAAAUGUAACUCGCAAACUUGAAUCCGAUCUUCAUAGCAGUAAGAAGCGGUUUGCAGAACUUGCUGAGCAGUGUGAAUCGUUAAAGAAGGGGCGAGAGGCAUCUGAUGAAAGAGAGGAGGCUUUAAAUGAGUUGAAAUCCAUUCAGCAAAAGCAUA
Molecule: long non-coding RNA, 713 nt
Organism: Humulus lupulus (European hop)
Lineage: Eukaryota; Viridiplantae; Streptophyta; Magnoliopsida; Rosales; Cannabaceae
Exons: 2
Source: RefSeq, a predicted model, not a curated record